RNAcentral lists this ribosomal RNA (1259 nucleotides) under Paraperiglischrus sp. APGD-2010. RNAcentral's name for it is "eukaryotic LSU rRNA". It matches the Rfam family "Eukaryotic large subunit ribosomal RNA", at positions 127 to 1244 of the family's 3401-position model. The record is from RNAcentral. Lineage: Eukaryota; Metazoa; Arthropoda; Arachnida; Mesostigmata; Spinturnicidae.
UUUUGCACAAUAAGAGAUGAGGUGUAAAGGUGUCACUUGUUCGGCGGGCCUGCGGCCUAACUAUUAUUGAGUGAGUGCUCAUGGAAGGUGGAAAGCCUGUGUGGCAGCUAGCGCCUGCCGAACCGAGACACUGAAGAGUCUAGUUGUUUGAGAGUACAACUUAAAGCUGGUGGUAAAUUUCAUCAAAGGCUAAAUAUACGAAGGGACUAAUAGCGAACAAGUACCAUGAGGGAAAGUUGAAAAGAACUCUGAAGAGAGAGUUAAACAGUACGUGAAACCAUAUUGAGUAAAACAGAUAACUGUGCCGUUUCGCGGCGCGUCCUGUCAACAGCGGCCCCGGCGUUGCCGUGCUACGCGUGUAGGCAGUCUGUCUAUUCGCGCGGUGGGCUAGCCUAGGCUUUUGUGUACUAGCGCGCGCCCGUUCAUUGAGAAAGCAUGUGGCAAGAGGAUCGGCGUGCCUCCGUCCGCACCUAGUGCGUGGUAGCAUGCUGGCCGCCUCCCUCGUCUGCCGCGUGCUUUUGCUGCGUGGCAGCUGUGAGCCGCGUUUGCCGUCGAGUUGUGCCGCCUUGUCUACGGAUUGGUUUGUUCCUUUCCGCGGUGGGCGCGCCUGCGCGGGCAAGCGGCUUCGAAUCAAUGUUUGGCAUUAGUUAUCUGACCCGUCUUGAAACACGGACCAAGGAGUUCAAAUGGCACGCGAGUCAUUGGGUUUGAACACCCAAAGGCGAAGUGAAAUGCGAUUCAGUUGCAAACUGUGGGUUCGUCACACACAGUUCAGCGACGGGCUACCCAUGCUAUUUGGCAUUUGUAGACUGAAAGCGUGAUGUUUGAGACCCGAAAGAUGGUGACCUAUGCCUAGUCAAGAUGAAGCCAGAGGAAACUCUGGUGGAGGUCUGAAGUUGUUCUGACGUGCAAAUCGAUAAUCUGAUCUGGGUAUAGGGGCGAAAGACUAAUCGAACCAUCUAGUAGCUGGUUCCUUCCGAAGUUUCCCUCAGGAUAGCAAGCGUACGCUAUUUAGUUUCAUCCAGUAAAGCGAAUGAUUAGAGGCAUUGGGGCAUAUGUAGCCUCAACCUAUUCUCAAACUUUUAAUGGGUGUGAGCAUUCUUUCUUGACUGAAGAACGCUGCUAAAUAAGUAUGCUUAGUGGGCCAUUUUUGGUAAGCAGAACUGGCGCUGUGGGUUGAACCAAUUGUUGAGUUAAAGUGCCUAAAGCUUGAAUGCGCAUGAGAUCUGUAAAGGGUGUUAGUUGCUGAAGACAGCAGG